This 497-nucleotide ribosomal RNA is filed under the name uncultured bacterium. Its description in RNAcentral is "partial 16S ribosomal RNA". It matches the Rfam family "Bacterial small subunit ribosomal RNA", at positions 28 to 507 of the family's 1533-position model. The record is from RNAcentral.
GAUGAACGCUGGCGGCGUGCCUAAUACAUGCAAGUCGAGCGAACAGACGAGGAGCUUGCUCCUCUGACGUUAGCGGCGGACGGGUGAGUAACACGUGGAUAACCUACCUAUAAGACUGGGAUAACUUCGGGAAACCGGAGCUAAUACCGGAUAAUAUAUUGAACCGCAUGGUUCAAUAGUGAAAGACGGUUUUGCUGUCACUUAUAGAUGGAUCCGCGACGCAUUAGCUAGUUGGUAAGGUAACGGCUUACCAAGGCGACGAUGCGUAGCCGACCUGAGAGGGUGAUCGGCCACACUGGAACUGAGACACGGUCCAGACUCCUACGGGAGGCAGCAGUAGGGAAUCUUCCGCAAGGGGCGAAAGCCUGACGAAGCAACGCCGCGUGAGUGAUGAAGGUCUUCGGAUCGUAAAACUCUGUUAUUAGGGAAGAACAAAUGUGUAAGUAACUAUGCACGUCUUGACGGUACCUAAUCAGAAAGCCACGGCUAACUACGUG